GGACUACCGGGGUAUCUAAUCCUGUUUGAUACCCACACUUUCGUGCUUCAGUGUCAGUUGUAGCCUGGCAAGCUGCCUGCGCUAUCGGAGUUCUUCGUAAUCUCUAAGCAUUUCACCGCUACACUACGAAUUCCGCCUGCCUCGUUUACACUCAAGUUAUCCAGUAUCAACGGCAAUUUUGACGUUAAGCGUCAAGAUUUCACCGCUGACUUAAACAACCACCUACGCACCCUUUAAACCCAAUAAAUCCGGAUAACGCUCGCAUCCUCCGUAUUACCGCGGCUGCUGGCAC
Molecule: ribosomal RNA, 292 nt
Filed under: uncultured Bacteroidota bacterium
Lineage: Bacteria; Pseudomonadati; Bacteroidota
Description: uncultured Bacteroidetes bacterium partial 16S ribosomal RNA
Source: RNAcentral